RNAcentral lists this ribosomal RNA (774 nucleotides) under uncultured Neocallimastigales. RNAcentral's name for it is "partial large subunit ribosomal RNA". It matches the Rfam family "Eukaryotic large subunit ribosomal RNA", at positions 22 to 640 of the family's 3401-position model. Lineage: Eukaryota; Fungi; Neocallimastigomycota; Neocallimastigomycetes; Neocallimastigales. The record is from RNAcentral.
GUACACGCUGUGACUAGCAUAUCAAUAAGCGGAGGAAAAGAAACUAACAAGGAUUCCCCUAGUAACGGCGAGUGAAGCGGGAAGAGCUCAAAUUUGAAAUCUUAAAGGGUUUCCCUUUACGAAUUGUAGUUUAAAGAAGUGUUUUCUGCUGAGGUUUUGGUAAAAGUUCUUUGGAAUAGGACAUCAUAGAGGGUGAGAAUCCCGUAUUUGACCUUUACUUUCAACUUUGUGAUACACUUUCAAAGAGUCGGAUUGUUUGGGAAUGCAGUCCAAAAUGGGUGGUAAAUUUCAUCUAAAGCUAAAUAUUGGCGAGAGACCGAUAGCGAACAAGUACCGUGAGGGAAAGAUGAAAAGAACUUUGAAAAGAGAGUUAAACAGUACGUGAAAUUGUCAAAAGGGAAGCGUUUGACACCAGUGUUGUUUUUCUGAAAAUCAAUUAAAGAACUGUUUAUGCUAAGCUGUUUAGACUUUAUCAGCUAUCUGUUUAGUUUUGAGCUUUUCUUUAAUGCACUUUUCAGUUAACAAGUCAACAUCAAUUUCUUUUGCUGUAAAAAAGCUUGAGGAAGGUGGCUUGAGAUUCGUCUUAAGUGUUUAUAGCCUCUUGCCUAUGCAGUCGGAGAGAUUGAGGUCUGCAGCGUAGAUCCUUCGGGGCUAAAUGCAUUUGUGCUAAGUUAUAGCAUUUUAUAGACAACUUGUUGACUAUGAUUUGUCUUGUAGCUUACUCGCUUAUGUUAUUUUACCUACGCUUAGGAUGUUGAUAUGCAUGACUGAUAU